Molecule: ribosomal RNA, 497 nt
Filed under: uncultured bacterium
Lineage: Bacteria
Description: partial 16S ribosomal RNA
Rfam family: Bacterial small subunit ribosomal RNA
Source: RNAcentral
GAUGAACGCUGGCGGCGUGCCUAAUACAUGCAAGUCGAGCGAACAGACGAGGAGCUUGCUCCUCUGACGUUAGCGGCGGACGGGUGAGUAACACGUGGAUAACCUACCUAUAAGACUGGGAUAACUUCGGGAAACCGGAGCUAAUACCGGAUAAUAUAUUGAACCGCAUGGUUCAAUAGUGAAAGACGGUUUUGCUGUCACUUAUAGAUGGAUCCGCGCCGCAUUAGCUAGUUGGUAAGGUAACGGCUUACCAAGGCAACGAUGCGUAGCCGACCUGAGAGGCUGAUCGGCCACACUGGAACUGAGACACGGUCCAGACUCCUACGGGAGGCAGCAGUAGGGAAUCUUCCGCAAUGGGCGAAAGCCUUACGGAGCAACGCCGCGUGAGUGAUGAAGGUCUUCGGAUCGUAAAACUCUGUUAUUAGGGAAGAACAAAUGUGUAAGUAACUAUGCACGUCUUGACGGUACCUAAUCAGAAAGCCACGGCUAACUACGUG